RNAcentral lists this transfer RNA (75 nucleotides) under Bacillota bacterium. RNAcentral's name for it is "Firmicutes bacterium (anaerobic digester metagenome) tRNA-Gly". It matches the Rfam family "tRNA". From Rfam's summary of the family: Transfer RNA (tRNA) molecules are approximately 80 nucleotides in length. Their secondary structure includes four short double-helical elements and three loops (D, anti-codon, and T loops). Lineage: Bacteria; Bacillati; Bacillota. RNAcentral also lists the same sequence under 2 other names. The record is from RNAcentral.
GCGGAAGUAGUUCAGCGGUAGAACACCACCUUGCCAAGGUGGGGGUCGCGGGUUCAAGUCCCGUCUUCCGCUCCA